CUACGUAGGGUGCGAGCGUUGUCCGGAAUUACUGGGCGUAAAGAGCUCGUAGGUGGUUUGUCGCGUCGUCUGUGAAAUUCCGGGGCUUAACUCCGGGCGUGCAGGCGAUACGGGCAUAACUUGAGUACUGUAGGGGAGACUGGAAUUCCUGGUGUAGCGGUGAAAUGCGCAGAUAUCAGGAGGAACACCGGUGGCGAAGGGGGGUCUCUGGGCAGUAACUGACGCUGAGGAGCGAAAGCAUGGGUAGCGAACAGGAUUAGAUAGCCUGGUAGUCCAUGCCGUAAACGGUGGGCGCUAGGUGUAGGGGUCUUCCACGACUUCUGUGCCGUAGCUAACGCAUUAAGCGCCCCGCCUGGGGAGUACGGCCGCAAGGCUAAAACUCAAAUGAAUUGACGGGG
RNAcentral lists this ribosomal RNA (398 nucleotides) under uncultured bacterium. Its description in RNAcentral is "partial 16S ribosomal RNA". It matches the Rfam family "Bacterial small subunit ribosomal RNA", at positions 523 to 918 of the family's 1533-position model. The record is from RNAcentral.